This 654-nucleotide ribosomal RNA is filed under the name uncultured bacterium. RNAcentral describes it as "bacterial SSU rRNA". It matches the Rfam family "Bacterial small subunit ribosomal RNA", at positions 134 to 805 of the family's 1533-position model. The record is from RNAcentral.
UAGUGGGGGAUAGCCCCGAAAGCCGGAUUAAUACCGCAUACGCUCUACGGAGGAAAGGGGGGGAUCUUAGGACCUCGCUACAGGGGCGGCCGAUGGCAGAUUAGCUAGUUGGUGGGGUAAAGGCCUACCAAGGACGAUCUGUAGCUGGUCUGAGAGGACGACCAGCCACACUGGGACUGAGACACGGCCCACUCCUACGGGAGGCAGCAGUGGGGAAUUUUGGACAAUGGGCGCAAGCCUGAUCCAGCUGCCGCGUGUGUGAAGAAGGCCUUCGGGUUGUAAAGCACUUUUGUCCGGAAAGAAAACCGUGGUUAAUACCCGUGGCGGAUGACGGUACCGGAAGAAUAAGCACCGGCUAACUACGCCAGCAGCCGCGGUAAUACGUAGGGUGCAAGCGUUAAUCGGAAUUACUGGGCGUAAAGUGCGCAGGCGGUCCGCUAAGACAGAUGUGAAAUCCCCGGGCUUAACCUGGGAACUGCAUGUGACUGGCGGGCUAGAGUAUGGCAGAGGGGGGUAGAAUUCCACGUGUAGCAGUGAAGCGUAGAGAUGUGGAGGAAUACCGAUGGCGAAGGCAGCCCCCUGGGCCAAUACUGACGCAUGCACGAAAGCGUGGGGAGCAAACAGGAUUAGAUACCCUGGUAGUCCACGCCCUAA